RNAcentral lists this unclassified non-coding RNA (240 nucleotides) under Hevea brasiliensis (rubber tree). The record is from RNAcentral. Lineage: Eukaryota; Viridiplantae; Streptophyta; Magnoliopsida; Malpighiales; Euphorbiaceae.
AGCAGCAGAGAAACUCAACAUGACAGGUCUACAAGCUUUCUUGGAGUGUCACACCACAAGAUUAUCUAGCCAAUGCUAUUCUCUACACUAUCAGGAAGAAGCUGCAAGUGUUUGUGGCCGCCAAUCACCUUUCUGUGCGCUGAGCAAGCCUUCUUGGUCUCUGGAGAAGGUUAGAUGAACCUCCCAUCUCAGGGACUUUAACAGGUUCUCAACUUCUCCUAUUGCUUUGGACUCAUCACG